CAUUUCUCUUAAAUAUAUCCCACAGAUUUAUAUACUGCUUACAGAAAUCUCAGUUAUGAGGUCAGGCUCUGUAACAGCCUCCCAAGGAAACAAAAUCCACACAGACUUUCAGUGACAUCUAAACAGCAGGUGAUUUCAAUUUCUUCAAUAAUCAAACCUAGCUCCCAGAAUUUCCUGCUGCUGUGUCCAUUUUCAGCUUCCACAGUCAUUUCAUCAGCCUUCAUUUACACUGAUAACACAACACACCUGUUGGCUACUGCUCCCUGAAUGCCUCCAGUUUUACACCUUUUAGAAAGAAGAUUCUCCCAAAAUCCCAUGCCACAACACAGAUGUACCUCUUGACAGCCUCUCCUGCACCAAAUGUGCACAGACAGUUCAAGAAAAGCAGAACUGAUCUUGCAGUCCUUCAUCUCUCAUCACAUCUGUGCCUGUUUUGUCACAUUUUUUACCCUGUCUUCUCCCACUGCCAUCUUUCUGGUGCCACAGGAUUUAUCUUCAGCUCUAACUGGAUGGAUCUGAACACUGGAAAGACAGCCGUUGUGGUGCCUGCUGCAACUAAACAAGCAUUUAUGUUUGGAGUGGAGAUGCUGGAAGAUUGAAGUCACAUUAACUGUCAAAGUUGAAGUUCCCCAACAUUUUACAGAUCUUUGAAGUACCACAGACUUCCACAAUAUAAAAUUGUGGAAGCUAUAAAAAUGUACAAAGGAUGUAAUUCACUUUCAACUCCGUAGGCUCAAAAGACCCUAUGCACAAGAAACCAGCCACUGUUCUGUAGGAGUCACACCCUGCAAGGUGCAGAUCAUCUCUAUAAAUUUCAGUUAUCUGGGAACAGUCAUUAAAACAGAUGCUGAGCACAACUUGUAGGAUCAAGUCCUGAAAAUGGCAGUACAGAGUGCCAAACUGAAAGAUUAUCAAAGCUAAGAAGUCUCUUCCUGCAGGCAUUGUAAAUAAUCUCUGAAGCUGAUCUGGGGACAAGGAACAUAGAAACUUCUUCCACUUGCCAUCCAGUGUUGCACGUAUCUAUUAAAAGUCACGUGGCCUUAAAGGCAUUGGUGAGUCACUUAAGCUAAAAAGUUCACGUGGUCCAUUUGCUUGGAGGACAAACAUUUGCUCUUGAUGGCAAAAAAGGGCAGAAGGGGAAAGUGAGAAGAAAUCCUCCUUCCUACUAGAAAAUAAAUCACUCUGGAUUAGCA
RNAcentral lists this long non-coding RNA (1193 nucleotides) under Phasianus colchicus (ring-necked pheasant). RNAcentral describes it as "lncRNA (ENSPCLG00000001550.1)". The record is from RNAcentral. Lineage: Eukaryota; Metazoa; Chordata; Aves; Galliformes; Phasianidae.